Molecule: ribosomal RNA, 1722 nt
Filed under: Strongylostoma sp. h YC-2021
Lineage: Eukaryota; Metazoa; Platyhelminthes; Rhabdocoela; Typhloplanidae
Description: SSU rRNA
Rfam family: Eukaryotic small subunit ribosomal RNA
Source: RNAcentral
UGUCCAGUUCACGCCUUAACACGGCGAAACCGCGAAUGGCUCAUUAAAUCAGCUAUUGUUUCUUAGAUCUUACCCAUACUACUUGGAUAACUGCAGUAAUUCUGGAGCUAAUACAUGCCAAUUAUGCCUCGGCUUUAUUGCUGAGGCGGGUUUAUUAGAUCAAAAUCAACCAGCUUUCGGGCUGAGUUUUUUGAUGACUCUGGAUAACCAACCUGAUCGCAUGGCCUUGUGCCGGCGACGUAUCUUUCAAGUAUCUGACCUAUCAUCUGUCGAUGGUGAGUGAUAUGCUCACCAUGGAGAUCACGGGUAACGGGGAAUCAGUGUUCGAUUCCGGAGAGGGAGCCUUAGAAACGGCUACCACAUCUAAGGAAGGCAGCAGGCGCGCAAAUUACCCACUCUCAGCGAGAGGAGGUAGCAACGAAAAAUAACGAUGCAAGACUCAACAUGAGGCCUUGCAAUCGGAAUGAGUACAAUUUAAAUCCUUUAACGAGGAUCAAUUGGAGGGCAAGUCUGGUGCCAGCAGCCGCGGUAAUUCCAGCUCCAAUAGCGUAUAUUGAAAUUGUUGCAGUUAAAAAGCUCGUAGUUGGAUCUGAGGUGGGAGUCGUUAGUUCAGUGUUUCGCUGCGACUAUAUGUACUCUACCUUACACAGUCAUUAGACGCCUUGCGGUGCUCUUUAUUGAGUGCUGUAGGGUGCAUGGCACGUUUACUUUGAAAAAAUUAGAGUGCUCAAAGCAGGCCUCAGUGCUUGUAUAAUCUUGCAUGGAAUAAUGGAAUAGGACUUCGGUUCUAUUUUGUUGGUUUUCGGAAUCGGAGUAAUGAUUAACAGAGACUGCCGGGGGCAUUUGUAUGGUGGCGUUAGAGGUGAAAUUCUUGGAUCGCCGCCAGACAAUCUACUGCGAAAGCAUUUGCCAAGAAUGUCUUCAUUAAUCAAGAACGAAAGUCAGAGGUUCGAAGACGAUCAGAUACCGUCCUAGUUCUGACCAUAAACGUUGCCGACCAACAAUCAAGGGUGGUUUGACUAAUUGACCCUCUUGGCUGUCCCUGGGAAACCUUAAGUAAGGUUCUGGGGGGAAUAUGGUCGCAAGGCCGAAACUUAAAGGAAUUGACGGAAGGGCACCACCAGGAGUGGAGCCUGCGGCUUAAUUUGACUCAACACGGGGAAACUCACCCGGCCCGGACACUGUAAGGAUGGACAGAUUAAAAGCUCUUUCUUGAUUCAGUGGGUGGUGGUGCAUGGCCGUUCUUAGUUGGUGGAGUGAUUUGUCUGGUUAAUUCCGAUAACGAACGAGACUCUAACCUGCUAAAUAGUACACUGGUAUUGGUGCUCCAUUGUUGUGAGUACUUUCAUCAGUGCUGACUUCUUAGAGGGAUUUGCAGUAUUUAAACUGCACGAAAAAGAGCAAUAACAGGUCUGUGAUGCCCUUAGAUGUCCGGGGCCGCACGCGCGCUACAAUGACAGCUUCAGAAAGUUUUACAACCUGGUCCGAAAGGAUCGGGAAAUCUUGGAAUAGCUGUCUCCUCAGGGAUUGGGGUUUGUAAUUAUCCCCCAUGAACGAGGAAUUCCCAGUAGGCGCAAGUCAUCAGCUUGCGCCGAUUACGUCCCUGCCCUUUGUACACACCGCCCGUCGCUACUACCGAUUGAAUGGUUUAGUGAGGUCUUCGGACUGCGGUCUUUGAGAUGGCAACAUUUCUCAGGCUGCGGAAAGAUGAUCGAACUUGAU